Molecule: long non-coding RNA, 672 nt
Filed under: Mytilus galloprovincialis (Mediterranean mussel)
Lineage: Eukaryota; Metazoa; Mollusca; Bivalvia; Mytilida; Mytilidae
Source: RNAcentral
AUUUUUAACCUGAUUUUUGUGACAAAAAUGUCGGUUAUUGAUUUGGGGAUGUACGGCGGGCGGGCGGGCGGGCGGGCAGUCGGGCCGGCGGGCGUUCGGCAAUCAAAUGUUGUCCGUGCAUUAACUCAUGAACCGUUCAACCAAAGCUUUUAAAAUUUUAAUAUGUUGUUACUGACAACUAAAUGAAGGUCAAGUUCAAUAAUAACGAUUUUGACUUUACCGUUCAGGAGUUAUGGUUCUUGAAAGAUUGAAAAAUGGUUUUUCCAGUCGUGUCCGUGCAUUUAAGCAUGAACUGUUCUACCAAAGCUUCCCAAAUUUUAAUAUGUUGUUACUGAUGACAAAAUGGAGGUCAAGUUCAAUAAUGACGAUUUUGACUUUUACCGUUCAGGAGUUAUGGUUCUUGAAAGAUUGAAAAAUGGAGUUUCCAGUCGUGUCCAUGUAUUUACACAUGAACUGUUCUACCAAAGUUUCCCAAAUUUUAAUAUGUUGUUACUGAUGACAAAAUGGAGGUCAGGUUCAAUAAUGACGAUUUUGACUUUUACCGUUCAGGAGUUAUGGUUCUUGAAAGAUUGAAAAUGGUGUUUCCAGUCGUGUCCGUGCAUUUUCUCAUGAACCAUUCAACCAAAUCUUUUGAAAUUUUUAUAUGUUAUUACUGAUGACAAAAUAGAGGUC